This 396-nucleotide ribosomal RNA is filed under the name uncultured bacterium. RNAcentral's name for it is "partial 16S ribosomal RNA". It matches the Rfam family "Bacterial small subunit ribosomal RNA", at positions 523 to 918 of the family's 1533-position model. The record is from RNAcentral.
AUACAGAGGGUGCAAGCGUUAAUCGGAAUUACUGGGCGUAAAGCGCGCGUAGGUGGUUCAGUAAGAUGGAAGUGAAAUCCCCGGGCUUAACCUGGGAACUGCUUUCAUAACUGCUGAGCUAGAGUACGGUAGAGGGUAGUGGAAUUUCCUGUGUAGCGGUGAAAUGCGUAGAUAUAGGAAGGAACACCAGUGGCGAAGGCGACUUCAUGGACUGAUACUGACACUGGUGUGCGAAUGCGUGGGGAGCAAACAGGAUUCGAUACCCUGGUAGCCCACGCCGUAAACGAUGUCAACUAGCCGUUGGGAGCCUUGAGUUCUUAGUGGCGCAGCUAACGCACUAAGUUGACCGCCUGGGGAGUACGGUCGCAAGAUUAAAACUCAAAUGAAUGGACGGGG